This 433-nucleotide ribosomal RNA is filed under the name uncultured bacterium. RNAcentral's name for it is "partial 16S ribosomal RNA". It matches the Rfam family "Bacterial small subunit ribosomal RNA", at positions 29 to 507 of the family's 1533-position model. The record is from RNAcentral.
AGCGAACGCUGGCGGCAGGCUUAACACAUGCAAGUCGAGCGGACCUUUCGGGGUCAGCGGCGGACGGGUGAGUAACGCGUGGGAACGUGCCUUCCGGUUCGGAAUAACCCUGGGAAACUAGGGCUAAUACCGGAUACGCCCUUAUGGGGAAAGGUUUACUGCCGGAAGAUCGGCCCGCGUCUGAUUAGCUAGUUGGUGGGGUAACGGCCUACCAAGGCGACGAUCAGUAGCUGGUCUGAGAGGAUGAUCAGCCACACUGGGACUGAGACACGGCCCAGACUCCUACGGGAGGCAGCAGUGGGGAAUAUCGGACAAUGGGCGCAAGCCUGAUCCAGCCAUGCCGCGUGAGUGAUGAAGGCCUUAGGGUUGUAAAGCUCUUUUAUCCGGGACGAUAAUGACGGUACCGGAGGAAUAAGCCCCGGCUAACUUCGUG